GAUGAACGCUGGCGGCGUGCCUAAUACAUGCAAGUCGAGCGAACAGACGAGGAGCUUGCUCCUCUGACGUUAGUGGCGGACGGGUGAGUAACACGUGGAUAACCUACCUAUAAGACUGGGAUAACUUCGGGAAACCGGAGCUAAUACCGGAUAAUAUAUUGAACCGCAUGGUUCAAUAGUGAAAGACGGUUUUGCUGUCACUUAUAGAUGGAUCCGCGCCGCAUUAGCUAGUUGGUAAGGUAACGGCUUACCAAGGCAACGAUGCGUAGCCGACCUGAGAGGGUGAUUGGCCACACUGGAACUGAGACACGGUCCAGACUCCUACGGGAGGCAGCAGUAGGGAAUCUUCCGCAAUGGGCGAAAGCCUGACGGAGCAACGCCGCGUGAGUGAUGAAGGUCUUCGGAUCGUAAAACUCUGUUAUUAGGGAAGAACAAAUGUGUAAGUAACUAUGCACGUCUUGACGGUACCUAAUCAGAAAGCCACGGCUAACUACGUG
Molecule: ribosomal RNA, 497 nt
Filed under: uncultured bacterium
Lineage: Bacteria
Description: partial 16S ribosomal RNA
Rfam family: Bacterial small subunit ribosomal RNA
Source: RNAcentral